UAGAGUUUGNUCAUGGCUCAGANUGAACNCUGNCNNNCGGGUUAACACAUGCAAGUCGAACGGUCACAGUGAAGAAAGCUUGCUUUCUUUGCUGACGAGUGGCGGACGGGUGAGUAAUGCUUGGGAAUCUGGCUUAUGGAGGGNGAUAACUACGGGAAACUGUAGCUAAUACCGCGUAAUAUCGAGAGAUUAAAGGGUGGGACCGCAAGGCCACCUGCCAUGAGAUGAGCCCAAGUGGGAUUAGGUAGUUGGUGAGGUAAAGGCUCACCAAGCCGACGAUCUCUAGCUGGUCUGAGAGGAUGACCAGCCACACUGGAACUGAGACACGGUCCAGACUCCUACGGGAGGCAGCAGUGGGGAAUAUUGCACAAUGGGGGGGAACCCUGAUGCAGCCAUGCCGCGUGAAUNAAGAAGNCCUUCGGNUUGUAANGUUCUUNCGGUAGCGAGGAAGCAUUUAGUUUAAUAGACUAGAUGAUUGACGUUUACUACAGAAGAGCNCGGCUANCUCGUGCNAGCAGCCCNGUUAUACNGGGGUANANCGUNAUCGAAUACUGGCGUAAGGCCNCCAGCGUGNUUNU
Molecule: ribosomal RNA, 578 nt
Filed under: uncultured bacterium
Lineage: Bacteria
Description: partial 16S ribosomal RNA
Rfam family: Bacterial small subunit ribosomal RNA
Source: RNAcentral